This 208-nucleotide long non-coding RNA is filed under the name Lathyrus oleraceus (garden pea). RNAcentral's name for it is "Pisum sativum (pea) long non-coding RNA (PSAT_LNC016040)". The record is from RNAcentral. Lineage: Eukaryota; Viridiplantae; Streptophyta; Magnoliopsida; Fabales; Fabaceae.
UUUUUUAUCUUGUAUCCUCAUUCGAUAAAAUGUACCCCCUUCCCAUGACGUGUAAUAAUUUUCACCGUUUUAUUUAUUUCUUUGCUUGCUUGUUUAACUAGUUCUAACACAAGAAUAAAAUCAACCCCUUACUUAAAAAAGAAUAAAACAAAUGAAAACUCGAUCCAACGUCGAGUAUUUUUUCCAUUCUUGUUCACCCUUAUUUUUU